RNAcentral lists this transfer RNA (74 nucleotides) under Candidatus Parendomicrobium porotermitis. RNAcentral describes it as "tRNA-Val". It matches the Rfam family "tRNA". From Rfam's summary of the family: Transfer RNA (tRNA) molecules are approximately 80 nucleotides in length. Their secondary structure includes four short double-helical elements and three loops (D, anti-codon, and T loops). Further hydrogen bonds mediate the characteristic L-shaped molecular structure. tRNAs have two regions of fundamental functional importance: the anti-codon, which is responsible for specific mRNA codon recognition, and the 3' end, to which the tRNAs corresponding amino acid is attached (by aminoacyl-tRNA synthetases). tRNAs cope with the degeneracy of the genetic code in two manners: having more than one tRNA (with a specific anti-codon) for a particular amino acid; and 'wobble' base-pairing, i.e. permitting non-standard base-pairing at the 3rd anti-codon position. The record is from RNAcentral. Lineage: Bacteria; Pseudomonadati; Elusimicrobiota; Endomicrobiia; Endomicrobiales; Endomicrobiaceae.
GCCCGGUUAGCCCAGCUGGUUAGAGCGCUUCCUUGACGUGGAAGAGGUCAUAGGUUCGAGUCCUUUACCGGGCA